This is a long non-coding RNA of Felis catus (domestic cat), 2815 nucleotides long. RefSeq lists it as uncharacterized. The transcript has 2 exons. The record is from RefSeq and is a predicted model, not a curated record. NCBI's taxonomy places the organism in Eukaryota, Metazoa, Chordata, Mammalia, Carnivora, Felidae.
AAAAACCAGGGGUGGUACUGGUUCAACUCACGUUGCUAUUUAUACUGCUGCUGUGGCAGGGGGGUACAAGUCACUUCCUGACAUCUGGCUCUAAGGCCAUUGUGAAAGAAUGGCGGGCAAAGAUGGCAUGGGCUAAAAAGAUGCCAGAGGUGGAAUGUGGGAGUGCUAACAACAUUGACUCCAUCUGUGGGACGCCAUCUUGCACAGGUGGCACCACUUUGGAUAACUGGCGGCUAUCGGGUGCACAGAUGGUGCCACUUAAGAUAACUACCCAUGACCUCCCCACCACGCCCCUCACUCCAUAAGAGCUGGGGGAAGGUCCAGAUAAAGGCUGGGAAUAGGGGCGGAGAUUAGGAGCAUAUUACCGCCUGGAUCUUCCGUCCGUUGGCCCACUCGACUGCCUGCCGGUAAGUUACCCUGAAGAAAACACUGCGAACGGUAUAGAACAGCUUUGCUUCAUGUUUCGGUAUUAAUGUACCUUCCUGGUUUGGAGGAUACAUUAUAAACCUCCACCCCUUUCUAACACUUAGUACUUUUUAAAUUUUAAUGGCCCCCAAACAGAAAUUUCGAGAUACAAAUGAGGUCCAUGUCAGGCGCGUGGCUGACGGGUGGGCAAAUGGAUUUUCUUAGACGUUCCAGGAAACUUUUCAAUUACGGUGCACAACCACGCAUCUGUUUCCCCCGAGUAAGGCCACAUAAGUUGUCUUUUUACGUCUACUUAUGUAUAUACCUUCUGGCACCUGUAUUUCUUUGUCCUAUGUCAACGAGAUAGCUUUAAAAGGGCAGUGAGAAUAUCCAGGAGCUGGUCAGAGAAAUGCCUGUAGCUAGAGCUGCCAUGAGGGUGAAGAAAAAGAUUUCAUAGGAAAAUAAAAUCUAGAAGUAUCCUUUCAAAGGUGAGACAAAGGCUAAUAUUAAGAAGGGCUAGUUUUCCCAUGUUUUAAGAACUUGUACCGUUUACAAACGCCUUGUAAAGUCCUUCCACUAUUCUAAACUAGAGCUUUCUGGGUCACACACCACCAAAUCCUAGGUUCUCUCGUGGUAUUAAUCAGUGUUCCCCCAAAAAAAGAUGUUCCGUGAUCAGUUUUGGAUUAAAAUUUUUUAAUUAGCUAAGUAAAUUCCAAUGUUUCUCAAGCCUGAUGAGCAUUGCGUAUCUCCAAGAGGGAGAUAGGAUAUCAAGGACUUCUCUACGUUAUUAAUCAUAAAUUCUUACAGGGAAGUAUUAACAUCUAGAACACUAGUGUUCUAGGAUUUCACUUUUCUUCUUUUGGGGGACAGGUGGGGUCUUAAGAAACCCAAGUGGAGAUGCACAAAGUGGAAAGAAGGACAUCGCUUCAAUCCACACUCGUGCAUCUUACACAAAUACCCCAGCCAAUAAACCUAAAGCUGAAAGCGAAGAAAACCAAUUUAAUGUAUGAAAAAAUUGCCUUAAAAUGUGGUGCUAAGAGUUGACCAGUUUGCUGAUCAUGUUUAUAUGCGUCUGCAGGUCAAGGCCUCUGACAAUACUGACGGUUUCUGAGUGGCCAGAAAACGUUAUCCUUAAAACUAUCCUGUUUUGGGCACACAAGGUAAACAUUCUGGGCACCCAGUUUGGAAUCCAUCCUUAGGAAAUUAGCGAAUAACUCUGCGGAGAAAGACUCAGAGGACGUUAUCAAAAUCUACUGGAUUUGUCCAGCUAUGGGAAGAGGUUGAUGAUCCCAGGUGAAUUUUCCGUGGCACCUACCAGGUAGGCCCUUUUAAUAUAUACAUUAAGGUCCUCUUUUAUUUCUGGUAAUUUAAGUGUUAUUUCUAUGUUUUAUUUUCUUCAAUCAGGAACUCCAAUUAUACAGGUGUUGGGCCUCAGUACGUGUUCAUUUUAACCCCUUUUUUUCUCACCCUUUUAACUAACAGACCCCAUUUUCAUUUUCUAGAAUGCUUUCCUAAUUUUUAUCCAUGUCUCUUGUUAAAUUCUCAUUUGAAUUUGUUGACUUCUGGAUGUUUUGGUCAUAACUUCAGAGAUGAAUUUGCCUUUUUCUUUCUUUCCUGAGUCUAAAAUUCUAGUUUUGCUUUUUCCCUUUCUUGUCCUCUUUUUUUUUUUUUUAGUUUUUUUUUUAGUUUUUGAAUUUUUGACCUCUCAGUCUUGUAAUUAUUCAGCUUCAUGACUUAGGAGAAGCCAGAAGAGUUCAUGCAACUGAGGAUGAUUGGAGAGUCUCACAAGGAAAAGGUGACAAGCUCAAACUAAAACACGUUUAAGACCUCACUAGGCAAUUAGAUAUUAUUGCUGGUAAAGAUGAACAAAAAAAGAAACUCUAAAUGAACAUGUGGCAAAACAGGACUGUACUGAGGACUGAUGACACAAGUGAAGUAGAGAUUUAACAAAUGCUACACACGAUGUUACUGAAAGAGUCCAUUCUUGGAGGUGAUUGUGCUCCAUUUGGACACUCACAGUAGUGUCUGGGGUUCACUGAUCUGGAAUCAGUGUCUGGAUCAGUUGGUUUAUAGUUUUCAUCAAAUUUGAAAAUCUUUCUUUAAAUAUUUGUCAGAUGCCCCUUCUGGGGACUCCAAAUUGCAUACAUACAAAGCCACCUGAAAUUGUCCCACACCGCAGUGAUGUUCUGUUCACUGGUUUUGAAUUAUCUUUGUGUUUCCUUUGGACAGUUACUAUUGCAAUAUUCACAAGUUCACCGAUACGUUCUUCUCCAAGUUCUAAUUUGCUGUUAAUCUUAUCCAAUGGAUUUUUCACCUCAGACAAAGUAGUUUUCAUCUCUAGAAGUUUACUUUGGUUAUACCUUCCAUGUCCCUUUUUGAAUAAAUGUAAGAGUUACUAAGCUGCAACUAA